This 8620-nucleotide long non-coding RNA is filed under the name Lactuca sativa (garden lettuce). RNAcentral's name for it is "long non-coding RNA (LSAT_LNC006942)". The record is from RNAcentral. Lineage: Eukaryota; Viridiplantae; Streptophyta; Magnoliopsida; Asterales; Asteraceae.
GAUUAUUAUGGUCUAAAUGUUGUUUUGGGUAUUGAUAGUUUGGGAAGUCGAAGGGUCAGCAGUUCAGAAAAUGCCAGUUAGCAGUCAGAAGUGUUCAGCAAGUCUUCAACAGUGUGAGGUGAGUCUCCUCACUGUUUGUAUGGGUCUAUGGCCACAAUGUCGGCCCAUUUAGUUUAUGUAUGGUAGAAAGACCCGGGGGUUAGCCCUAGGCAUUAUGCAUGAAAGACCAGGAGGUGGCUCCUGGCACACUGUAUUUGUUUAUGUAUGGUAGAAAGACCCGGGGGUUAGCCCUAGGCAGUAUGUAUGAAAGACCAGGAGGUGGCUCCUGGCACACUGUAUUUGUUUAUGUAUGGUAGGAAGACCCAAGGGUUAGCCCCAAGCAAUAUGUAUGAAAGACCAGGAGAUGGCUCUUGGCACACUAUAUGUUGUUAUGUAUGAAAGACCAGGAGGUGGUUCCUGGCACACCGUAUGCUGAGUAGCCUAGUAAAGUAGUAUGUAUAGUUAUCUUUGUGAUGAUUGCAUGGAAGACCAGGGGGUGGCCCUUGGCACUUGUCUGUAAGACCUAGGGAGUGGCCCAGGCUUGACAAGGAAGACCACGUGCGGCCCGUGGCAUAACAGCAAGACUAUGUUUGGCACAUAGCACCUUACUUGAUUAUGGAUAUGUUUGUUAUGUAUGGCUCAUGGUUACAUAUGGCAUGUAUGGAUCAGUUGAUAUGUAUGGUAUGUGGUAUCUGGGGAACUCACUAAGCUUCGUGCUUACGGUUUUUAGCUAUUUGUUUCAGGUAUUAAUGUUUUUCCGAGGAAGGAGCUCUGGGCGAUCGCAGCGUAUCACACCAUGUUUUCCGCACUAGAUUAUCUUUGGGAUUUAAAAAUCUGAUAAAUGUCUUAUUGAGAAUGUUAUUAAAUGAUUGAGAAAAAUUUAUUUAGCGGUUUUUAAUUGAUCAAAACGAAAUUUUUGGUCUUGAAUUUUGGGAUGUUACAUGUUGGUAUCAUAGCCUUGGUUUGAGGGAUUUGGGCACACUCUCGGGUGUGUCUGGACUCAAAUUGAUGGCUUGAUAUGAAAAUUUUCAAAAGGAACUUGAAAAGUAUUUGAAAGGAGAAAAGAACUUUGAAAAGAACAAGGUGUGUGAUGCGUGCAAUCGACCGAGCUCAAGUAAGUGGUUCCCAAAAUACCAAUACAUGUUUGAUAUGUGACAUGAUAUGAUUAUAUGAAUUGCAUGCUAGAUUAUGGCUAAGGAUCUAAGAGACAUACCUUGUAUGCUUAUGUGAACUUAUAGAAUUGAAUUCUAGAACUGAUCAGCCAGUAGUAGGAUGGCAUGUUUAGGUUAUGCCUGAUUGUAUGAGCCCUAGAAUUGCAUGCUAGUGUAGAUUCCUAAUAAGAGGAUAGAACGAAUUGUUUGGUUAGAUUUUCCGCUUGUCUGAAUGUUGCUUGCUUUGUGCUUUGUGGGACUUUAAGUAAUGGGAGUUAGCUACAAGAUGAAUGUGUUAAGUCACAUGUGAUCAGGGUUGAAUAAUCUUAGAGUGCUGGACUUAACCCUAUUGCACAACGCUUGUCUUAGUCUAACCGUUGUAGGGAUGAGUCUUUUACUCGAAGGAUUAUCCAAGCCUCGUCACAUGUGAUGGUAUUCAUGUUGUGGUUAAUUGGCAUUAUGAAGAGUCUUUCAACAGCUAAGGAUUGGGUUUGGGAUUGGAGAUUUCCCUAAGGUAAGCCUAGAAGGAGAGUAGCAGAAAGCAGCAGUAGUAGAGGGACUUGGUAAAGUCGAAGCAAUCCUUGAGAAAGUACGGAUAGAUGUGGAAGGUAGUAUGGGCCCGUACUACUGAAAGCAGAGGAUCCGUACUCGAGUCAAAGAGCGUCGAGAUAGAACCAGGAAACUUGUAGUAUGUGAGACCUUCUGAGGUGACAUACGACCCUGACAAUUAUGUGUUUUGUUUCAGAAUGGUGAUGAUUACGCGACAUGGAGCAAGAGGAUCAGGAUCCGGUUUAGGAUCAGGUUCGGGUGCAUGUUCCGAGCCAAUGGAUGAGGGACUACGCGAGUUCAUCGCGUCUGAGAUCACGAGAGGUAUCCUUGAGUCAACCUCGGUGAUUUUCGGGUCGAUCAAGGAAGGGAUUAUUGAGCUGAUGGAGGAUCACCUCAGAGCGUUCCGAAGUGAUAUGGCAUCCGACCAAUCAGAAUCACGCACAUUGUCCUUCAAGGACUUCAGGGGGAGUGGCGCGCCAGACUUCCAAGGGGUGAAGGACCCCAUUGUUGCCAUGAGAUGGAUUGCAGACAUUGAGUCUGCACAGUUGACGAGCUUCUGUCCCGAGGGGUCGAAGGUUCGAUUUGCUGCAGGAUGCUUGAGGGACAGAGCUAGAGAUUGGUGGGAGUCAGUUAGUGAUUCCUUGGGAGCCUCAACAAUUGAGGUUAUGACCUGGUCCGAAUUUGUGACCAGGUUUAGGGAGGAGUUUGCGCUGGCUGUGGAGCUUCAGCAGCUGGCCAGGGAGUUCCUAGACAUGAGACAGACGACGAAGUCGGUGGCGGAGAUUACCGCCAAGUUCUGGGAGAGGGCCUUAUUUGUGCCUCAGUAUGCAGGGGAUGAGGAGAUACAAAGGACCCGCUAUCAUGACAUGUUGAGAGCUAGUAUUCGGGAGCAUGUUAGCUUCUCGGCAUGCCCGACCUUGGACUCUAUGAUUUCUAGGGCACGGGAAAGGGAGAUUGAUUUGGAGCACAUUGCGAAGAGGAGGUCGGUUCAGAUGUAUACUUUGGAGGGUCCCGGGAAGAGACCCAAGUCUUUAGAUUAGCAAUUAGUAGGUCGGCAAGGCUGAAGUCAGUGCAGCACGUGCGGGAAACUGCAUGAGGAAGUUUGUCGUUCCGGGGGUUCAGGCUGCUACAAGUGUGGCAGUGAUGGUCACGUCAGCAGGGACUGCCCACAGGGGGCAAGCCCAAUAUGUUUUCACUGCAAUCAGGUGGGCCACAAGAAGGCUAACUGCCUGAAUAUGAGGGGAGGAGCAGGGAGUGUGUCUGCCCCGACAACUUUGAGGAUUACAGAUGGGUGAGAGGGUAGGGCCUUGUAGUGACAGAUGAGGGAGAUCUGGAUUACAACAGGGAAUGUUUCAGGUAUGUAUCGAUAGCUAUUUUCGAUUUUAUAUGUAUCAGGAUUGUUCUUACCUCAGUCUCAGGUGAUAGUAUGUAUGAGUUGUCUCUCUGCUUGUAUUCAGAUUGUAUUUUUAGAAUUGUCAUAUGCCAAUUGCAUACCAGGAACUAUUAGUAGCUAGUGUAAGGUCAUCUCUCACUUCGGGUUCGAAGUGUCCAAUAUUAUCUCGGUUGCGACUGAAAACAGUUCAGGAGCGUUACGUGGAGGUCGAUGGGCAGGGUCCAUGGAGUAUUCAUCCACCAUCAUCAGGGUUUGGUGGUUCUAGUCUUGGUGUUUGGGAUAACUUUUGGAAGCAUCAAGGGAAGUGGUCUAUCACUGAAGAGGUUGCUCUGAGCAUUAGUUAUUCAUACCUUAAGGACAUCAGUUUGAGCUUAGGGGAUUAUCAGUACCGAGGAUGCAGGAAGUGUUCAUCUAGUAUUCAGUAAUCGUACGGUAUUUGGAGUGGGUUAGUGACAGAUUGCUAGCAAGAUUAAGGCGAUGGUAGUUAGCAUGCCUAUUGUGUAAGGGAUGAAGGAAUGGAAAUCCUUGGACUUUCGCGUGCCGUAAAGACUUAGCCGAAGCUAAGUGGGGGAGAAACAAUCAUGUUACGGGAGCAGAAGCAGUUUUGAAACUGGGAUAAGUUUCGCUCUCCUGUUAGGGAGAAAGACGGCCCAGGCGGCUGUAUGAAUUGAGGAUAGAGUGAAUUAGAAGUUUGGAAAACUUGCCAAUUGUGAGAUCGCAUUCUCGGGAUGUCUAAUAGAAGGUUUCAGAAGAAUCAGUUGGGAGUUUCAGUUAGGACAUGAGUACAGUUUGGGGUACUAGAUUGUGCUUGUAUGCUCAAUUAUGGGUAUAUACGGAUUAGUAGUGAGCGAAAGACCAUGAUUAGCGGUCGAGUCAGUGUGGAAGGUGUUGUAAGACUAUGGGUUAGUCGUAGCAUCCACUAGCAGCCAGUUGGUGUGGAAGGUGUUGUCAGACUACCGGAUAGUCGUAGCAUUCACCAGUGGUCAGAUAGUAUGAGAAGUGUGGUAAGACUGCGGGGUGGUCCGUAGCAAUGGUUAGCAGAUAGUGUGGGAGUGUUAGAAGACUAUGGGGUGACCUGUAGCGUUCACUAGUUAGCAGAUAUAGUAAGGGAGUUGUAAGACUGCGGUGUGGCCUGUAACAAUCGUAUAUUAGUAUAGUUAGACUGCGGUGUGGCCUUUAGCAUUAGUAUAGUAAGAUUGUAGGGUGGCCCAUAGCAUUAGUUGGCAGAUAGCGUAGAAGUGUGGUGAGACUGUGGGGUGGCCCGUAACAUCAAUUGGUUGGUAGCGCAGAAGUGUUGUAAGACUAUGGGGGUGGCCCGUAGCAUUCACUAGUUGGCAGAACAAGUAUAGUAAGACUACGGGGUGGCCCGUAGCAUUCGUCGGUCCCUAUUCGACAGUACGAAUGUAUCACAUGCAUAAUUUGCUGGCAGUGUUUUUCAGAUAGUUUAAGAUAGGGUGGAGCAGCCACUCGGAUGUGAGUGGGCGGGGGCCCGUAUCUCCGAGCUAGCAUGAUAAGAAUCAGGAAAGUUUAGCUAGAUGAGAUUAGAGGAUGAGUGGGUCUGCAUAGCCCUGGAUAGGUGAGACCUGUGGGAGAGGUCGCUCCGAAGUUUAGAUGGGUGAGACUCGUGGGCAAGGCCCGUGUUCUUUUAGCAACAGGUGAUACCUGGUAGAGACCUUAGGGUAAGGUAGGGGAUCGGGGAUCCUAGAUUUUCUAGAGCUAGAGUGGCUGGGUUGAUAGAGCAAUUCAGGUAGUCGUUGUAUCUUCUUAAGUCGCUGAGAGCGACCGAGGGAAUGUUCUUACAUUCAGUAACCGGUGGGGGACCGAUAUUUCGGGUAAUGGUAGAUCAGUUGGGACCAGGGCGGUCUCGGUUCAUCCGAUAGGCGGAACUUCAGGUAGGAAUGAUGGUAAGGGAUUUGGUGUAAGAAGUCGUGAUCUGAUCGGGUGGUGCUGAGUUGCUCACUGCAGAAUCAAAUGAUCUCAUAGUAGAUGAUUUGGCUCGGUGAUGUUUUCUCGUCUGAGCCUUAAACGUAGCAGAGAGGGAUUUGCUACUUGAAGGAUUGUCUGAAUUCUCACGAUGAGUGGAGUUUUCAGUAUUGGAGCAUCGUUAUGGGAUUAUUCCGGCACCGGGAGUGGCCGGGAUUGUGGUUUCAGCAGAGGAUUGGUCCUCAAAGGAGAUUAGUAAGGUUGUUGUUAGGAAGAUGCCUUGGAAGGGCAGGUGGCAAUACAAGGAAAACGGGUGGACCCCUUGUGUAUCAGUGUAAGUGCACUGGGAGUACCGGUUGGGUAAAAGUAUUGUACUCGAAGGUAGUAGAGAUCGGAUUAUUCUGAAGACGAGAUUUCCAAGGAUUGGAACGGUUGGACGAAGAGUGUAACUAGUGGUAAGUGGUAAGUGGAUUGUAAGGUAGUGAACUGUGGCGGGCUUCGAGGACGAAGUCUAGUUUAAGUGGGGGAGAGUUGUAACACCCUAAGUUCAGGAGGCCUAGAAAAGGAAAGGAAACCUCAAAUAAGGGAGUAACUCUUCGAGUAGAUGGGUGACUCGACGAGUAGGAACGCGAUUUUGGUCGCGGGUUAAGUGACCUACUCGACGAGUCAGAGGACUGACUCAGCGAAUUGGCAGGUUUUGGGAAAAUCCUAAAUCGGGAGUUGGUGCCCUAUUUACACAUCUUAUUCUCAGUCUAUCAGCCUCAUUUGUAGCCUCCGUUGUCUAGAACAUUUCCCAUGAAACUCUAGUGUUCUCUUUGAGUGUGUGAGCCUUUAUUGAAGGAUUUAGAGUGUCCUUAAAGUCUAGAAGAAGAAGAAGGAGGUUGGAUGUCCAAGGAGAAGGUUGUGGAUCCAGAAAUUUUGCUUCAUCUUCUUCAUUUGCUAGUAAUCAAGUUCUCACCUUGACUUCUAGAUUGAUAGAUCUCUUUAUGUCCCUUUUUAUGGAGUUUAUGGUCCAAGAAGGAUGUCUUGUGGGAUUUGGACGUCCCCAAGCUAGGUCCUUCUAGAUUUAGAGGUGUUCAGAGUAGUAGAGGCAUAAAGAUGGAAGAUUUAUGCCAUUAUACCUCUCCAUGCAAAGUUUAAGGAGUUGUUUUGACCUUUUGAGCAAAAAGGGCCAUGCAUGGGUGCAAUGGUAGUGGCUUUGUGUGAUAUCACGACCCUAGAAGGCCAGAUCUGGGUCUUGGAUGCCUUAAGCUUGUCUGAAAUCGUCUAAAUAGUGUUGGACAUAGAGAGACUCGGCGAGUCAGGCCAGUUCUUGCCCCAAAACCCUUCUGUUAAGGGUAUGAGUGAGCUUGGAAAGGGACUCAGUCUGCCCGAGUCCAUAAUGGUCAUGAAGUUCAUCGUAGUCAACGAGUUCAAGGAAGAACUCGACGAGUCUAAGGCAAUCUCUUUAGUUAUGAAGAUGGACUCAACGAGUUGUUCAUACAACUCGACGAGUCACAUCCUAGACACAUUCAUAUGUGGAUGAUGAACUCGACGAGUUCAAGGUCGAACUCGGCGAGUCGGAUGAAGUUGGUCCCGAUUGUAUGGUUGAAAGAGAACCCGUCAAGCUAUUGCUAGACUCAAAGAGUGGAUUCGAGGUUGUAUGGGGUUGGAGGAGUAUGGACUCGACGAGUUGGUAGAUCAACUCGGCGAGUCAAGUCAACUGGAGGUUGACUUACCAAGUUUGACCAUGGUUGAAUUUUGGAUUAUUAUGGUCUAAAUGUUGUUUUGGGUAUUGAUAGUUAGGGAAGUCGAAGGGUCAGCAGUUCAAAAAUGUCAGUUAGCAGUCAGAAGUGUUCAGCAAGUCUUCAGCAGUGUGAGGUGAGUCUCCUCACUGUUUCUAUGGGUAUAUGGCCACAAUAUCGGCCCAUUUAGUUUAUGUAUGGUAGGAAGACCUAGGGGUUAGACCUAGGCAUUAUGCAUGAAAGACCAGGAGGAGGCUCCUGGCAUACAGUAUGCUAUUAUGUAUGGUAGGAAGACUCGGGGGUUAGUCCUAGGCAUUAUGUAUGAAAGACCAGGAGGUGGUUCUUGGCACACUAUAUUUGUUUAUGUAUGGUAGGAAGACCCAGGGAUUAGCCCUAGGCAAUAUGUAUGAAAGACCAGGAGAUGGCUCUUGGCACACUUUAUGUUGUUAUGUAUGAAAGACCAGAAGGUGGCUCCUGGAACACCGUAUGCUGAGUAGCCUAGUAGAGUAGUAUGUAUAGUUAUCUUUGUGAUGCUUGCAUGGAAGACCAGGGGUGACCCUUGGCACUUAUCUGUAAGACCCAGGGAGUGGCCCCAUGCUUAACAAGGAAGACCACGUGCGGCCUGUGGCAUAACAGCAAGACUAUGUUUGGCACAUAACACCUUACUUAAUUAUGGAUAUGUUUAUUAUGUAUGGCUCAUGGUUACGUAUGGCAUGUAUGUAUCAGUUGAUAUGUAUGGUAUGUGGUAUCUGGGGAACUCACUAAGCUUCGUGCUUACGGUUUUUAGCUAUUUGUUUCAGGUAUUAAUGUUUUUCCGAGGAAGGAGCUCGGGGCGAUCGCAGCGUAUCACACCAUGUUUUCCGCACUAGAUGAUCUUUGGGAUUUAAAACUCUGAUAAAUGUCUUAUUGAGAAUGUUAUUAAAUGAUUGAGAAAAUUUUAUUUAGAGGUUUUUAAUUAAUCUAAAUGAAAUUUUUGGUCUUGAAUUUUGGGAUGUUAUAAGGAAGCUGCGUGAGGGGAUAUUCCCGGUUGGCAUCGGGAGGCCGCCAUUCGGAGUGAAACUUCUCGGGGGAGUUGUUAGUAGAGAUGCUAGUUUCAUUAGCAAUUUAACCAUAAAGAGAGCUGAAAACAUUAUGAAUUUGAUGUGCCUUCUUCCGUAAUUGUCUGAUCCAUAGAGUGAGCUCCUUCUACUUUGGUAUUGUAUGGGUAUUGCUAAACUUUUCUUUGGGUUGAGGACGUGACAACCCAUUCACAUGGAGGAUGCGGCGUUAUUCUUUGACAAUGGGUUGCGUGUGGAGAUUGAGGACUUUGUGGUUUGUGGUGGUCCUUUCUUUGACAACAUACAGUGGCGAAUUUAUUCCAUACGCAUUAGGUUUGGUGGUUUGGGUUUACACUCGGCAGUAGAGGCUACCUCAUAUGCUUUUGUUGCCUCAAGGGCCCAAUCUUGGGUAUUGCAAGACUACAUCUUAUGGGAUAACAUCAUAUAUGGUAUGGAUUCUAAUUAUGUUUGUGCCUUAGCUUCUCUUUGUAACAAGCUUCCAGACAUUGACCUUAGCAUUUUAUUACUAAGGACACCCCCCCUAAAUCCCAAGAUACACUGGCGAGUGCCUUUUUUAGUAAAAUUGUCCAAGAUAUGGAAGUGAAUUUCAACAUGAUGACUUGGCAUAAAGUAGUUUUCCAAUGUUUACAUGCACCACAUGCUAAAGAUUUUCUUCUAAGCUAUCCCUAUAAAUGGGCUUAGGUAACAUAUGUCUCCUGUGGAGUAUCGUACCAUCCUCAAAUAUUGACUCAUGAUUCCAAAAUUCCCAGUUGACGAGAUAUGUCAUGUGUGCCACAAGGCAUG